This 303-nucleotide ribosomal RNA is filed under the name uncultured bacterium. RNAcentral describes it as "bacterial SSU rRNA". It matches the Rfam family "Bacterial small subunit ribosomal RNA", at positions 355 to 675 of the family's 1533-position model. The record is from RNAcentral.
UGGGGGAUAUUGCACAAUGGGGGAAACCCUGAUGCAGCAACGCCGCGUGAGUGAAGAAGGUCUUCGGAUUGUAAAGCUCUGUUCUUGGUGAAGAUAAUGACGGUAGCCAAGGAGAAAGCUCCGGCUAACUACGUGCCAGCAGCCGCGGUAAUACGUAGGGAGCGAGCGUUGUCCGGAUUUACUGGGUGUAAAGGGUGCGCAGGCGGCUCUGCAAGUCAGGCGUGAAAGCUAGGGGCUCAACCCCUAAACUGCGCUUGAAACUGUGGAGCUUGAGUGAAGUAGAGGCAGGCGGAAUUCCCGGUG